RNAcentral lists this ribosomal RNA (503 nucleotides) under uncultured Actinomyces sp. Its description in RNAcentral is "partial 16S ribosomal RNA". The record is from RNAcentral. Lineage: Bacteria; Bacillati; Actinomycetota; Actinomycetes; Actinomycetales; Actinomycetaceae.
CACGUAGUUAGCCGGCGCUUCUUAUCCAGCUACCGUCAACCCACCCACCAAGGGGCAGGCCUGCUUCACUGGCGAAAGAGGUUUACAACCCGAAGGCCUCCAUCCCUCACGCGGCGUCGCUGCAUCAGGCUUGCGCCCAUUGUGCAAUAUUCCCCACUGCUGCCUCCCGUAGGAGUCUGGGCCGUGUCUCAGUCCCAGUGUGACCGUCCACCCUCUCAGGCCGGCUACCCGUCACCGCCUUGGUAGGCCAUCACCCCACCAACAAGCUGAUAGGCCGCGAGCCCAUCCCCCACCAAAAACACCCAAAGGCGCAAUCUUUCCCAGACCCAUCAUGCGACAGACCCAGAAUAUCCCGUAUUAGCCACACUUUCAUGCGGUUAUCCGGAAGAAGGGGGCAGGUUACUCACGUGUUACUCACCCGUUCGCCACUCAUCCACACCCACCAAAAGGAAGGCGCUUCACCGUUCGACUUGCAUGUGUUAAGCACGCCGCCAGCGUUCGUC